AUGGUCUGCUGGGUUGACCUCUGGCGUGGCAUCCUCCUCUGCAAUGUGCUCGAGGAAAAUCCCCUUCUCCUUGACAUCCCGCUACCGCUGCCGGCGAGGGGUAACUGGAGACUCUACCACAAAUCCAGCUCGUACAAAUAUCGGGACAUCACCGUCAGCCCGCUCAAGGAUACCAUCAAGUACAUUGAGAUUGAGGUCUGCCCACCAAGAAACCCUCCUGCUGAUGAGUCCUAUAUGGACUGGUUUCACCAAAAGCGCCGUGACAAACGGUGCAAUGCACCUUGUACGGGCUGGAAGGCCAGGACAUGGAGCCUAUCGACCACAACAAUUCCUUCAUGGAAAUGGCGCCUUGACUGCACCCUCGAUGUUGCUGACAUCGAUGUCCAACCAAUCCAUUCUGAGCAGCUACCUAGGACGUGUAGCAUUACCGACAACCUCACCCAAGCAACAUGUCUGCAACGACUCAUCAUUGGUUUCCCCACCUUGAGCAUGGACGAUGAUGUUGUGUACAUGCUUUCUAAGGCCUGCCCCGAGGACCAGAUGGAAGUGGUGAUUGCUAUUGAUAUGAGCAAGAAGACGCUUCAGGGAGUGACUAAGCUUGUUACCGGAAAAGAUUUCACCGAUACACGUAUCUGCACCAGUGAAAUCUCCAAAUAUCUUAGUAAAGAUGAAGUGGCCAGGUAG
RNAcentral lists this ribosomal RNA (684 nucleotides) under Triticum aestivum (bread wheat). RNAcentral describes it as "partial small subunit ribosomal RNA". The record is from RNAcentral. Lineage: Eukaryota; Viridiplantae; Streptophyta; Magnoliopsida; Poales; Poaceae.